AUAUGUAAUUGCUAAUAAAUUGCACUAAAAAAAGGAUCAGGCAGCCAGUGAGUCCAGGGCGAGGCUUUGCCAUUGCACAUCGGCUUAGCUGACCCUUGCGAUUACCCAAAAUGUGGGUAACUCGGUCGUAUAAUUUCUGGUAGUGGGGACUGCGUUCGCGCUAUCCCCGU
This is a non-coding RNA of Ciona savignyi (Pacific transparent sea squirt), 170 nucleotides long. The record is from Rfam. NCBI's taxonomy places the organism in Eukaryota, Metazoa, Chordata, Ascidiacea, Phlebobranchia, Cionidae.